AAAUCUAGUUUGUUCAAAUAAUUUCUUAUUUAAAAUUAUGAGGGUCAUGGACUAUUAGUGUUAUUAUUAUCGUACGCCUCACUAAUUAAGGGAAUCAAAUUAACUAAAUGCUAAGAGAAAAGGGAUUUUUAUUUUUCAAAACUAAUGUUCAAACAAACUAAAAAAAACUUGCGUUAAAAGAGAAGCAAGUUUAAUUUAACAAAUGGCUUGGGCCAUCAACAUCAAUUAAAUAAGAAAUUAAAGAGGCAGGCCCAAGCAUAAUGAGGCCCCUAAUUCAUGUUUCAGGUGGUCUUAGAGUCUAGGCCCCAAAGAAUGGCCCAAAUCACGAGAUCGAGUCCCUAUGGCACGCAGACAGUACCUGAAAAUCAAAGGGUAUCACCAUUAACCCAAUUGGAUGUCAACAAUGCAAAACUAUAUAUGCAAUCAGAUUUAAAUCAGUCCCCAGCUAACUCAAUAAAAAAUUGUGUGAGAUUUCAACUUUAAUUAAACCUCUCUUUCGCACAUACAACAGCAAAUAAAAUCUUAUGAGGUUGUCAAAUAAACAAAUCUAAAUUUAAACAUCAACCCCACCUUACACAUGCUUACAAGCACACCAAGAGUAACUCUGUACAUAAACUGAGUACUAACUUAUAUACCAUUCAAUUAAUAAUUUCAUGAAGUAAAAAGUACAUAAUGAUUUUUCAAAUAGCAGAAUAUGCUCACUAGGAUAAAUUCCAACUGAAGAUUUCUGGUUUCAAACCUAUGCAUAUCAACUUAACGAUUCAAAUAAAUUCCUACAACAAACACUAAUUUCGACAGGCUAAAACAUAUCUGAAACAUGUUUAAUUCUACUGAGAUUUCUACUGCACUGAUUCUCGACCAUCCACACAUAUGAACAGCAAAUUCAACUUAUUUAAACCGUACCUCAGCUAAAUCCUUUCUCAUUCAACACAGUAACAACGUCCAGGAAAUUAACAUACCAUCCUCUUAAAUUUAAAAAUCAUGCUAAAACUCUCAACAACAUGGAUUCAUUUUCACUACAUAUUAAUAACACAAAAAAAAACUGAAAUAAAAUGUAUUGUAUACGAUUUACUACAGAAUGCUAAAGAAGUAGAAGAAACACAAGAAAUAAAUUCAAAUACAAUCUGUAUUCAAUCAGGUUUCCACUCAAAAUACAUGUUCACGGUCACUUGGUGUCCAUGGUUUGCAAAAAUACAUAGAAUGCAAUAGGAAAACAAAGAGGAAUGAGGAAUUAGCAGCAGCAACAGUGCAUCAAUAUCAAUGUAACAAUGUCAACACAAAAAAUCCAACCAAACUCCAAACCAGCUCAAAACAAUUUAAACCAAGUGAACAAAUUGGGAUUUUGAGAAGCUCUAAUUAAACGAAGAAAACCAAAAAACAAAAAAACCAAGCCAAUUUUUAGCAAUUUUUUGAACUUUUAGAGACUCCAGUUGUUUUUUCAAUUUUAGUGUUUUUAGUUUCUCCAACUCUUACUUGGGAGUGAUGCAAUUACCCUUUUAUAGAGAAGCUUUAAGGCAACAUAAAAUAAAUCAGACUUUACCCAUCAUUCCUUUUUAAAUUUUUAUUUUUGUUACUUGGUCCUUAAUUUAAAAACCAGUUUUCUAAACAGGUCCCAAACCCACCUUCCUAGCAGCUUCCUAAAUCAGUUACUGAAGAUUCUCCUCCUUAAAAUUCCUAAACUAACCCUUAAACCCCUGUCAAUUACCUCAGCCUACCUCAUGGGUCAUGUUAACCCAAUACCCAAACAAAACAGACAUGGGCUUGCAAAGACCCGGAUCAAUUCCUCUUUUUGGGCCUUUGUCUGACAGAGCCCUAAAUUUAAAUCAAAAUCAAAGUUUACAAAAUUAACGGGCUAAACAGAGUUGCCCAAAACUAGAACAUUUUGAAAAAUGAUAAACAAAAACAAAAGAACAAAAGAGCUAAUUAAAACUAAACAUAAGAACCCAAACAAACACAACUAAAACUUGCUUUUAAUCUGAUCAUGCAACAAACACUGAAUAAAAAAAAUUAAAAAUAAUAAUAAAGGACAAGAACAGAGGAGAUAGAAAGAUAUAGAGAUGAGAAGAAGAAUAAAAGAACGAAAAAAUAAAAUAAAAGUACGAGGGUACCUAAUAGAAGACGCGAAAGAACAAAGCUCGGAGGGCCUCAGAUUUCUUGAUUUUGAGCCAAAAUUGUUAUUCGUCAUGGGUUCUCGCUAAGAACCGACGAGAAACAACAAUUACAGCCCUAACCAGUCAUCGAAACUUGAAAGAUUUGUGAGAUUUUUGUUUUUGCUUUUCUACCUUUUUUCGAAUCUAAAAUUGGCUUAGUUUGGUGUUGAUGUGAAGGAAUAUGGUGAUGGCUUGGGGGUCAGGGAUGAGUGGAGGUUGUGUGAUGUUUAUUUGUGGUUGAUUGGAGGUGGCGUCGCCGGUGUGAUAUGGUGGAGAAUUCAUGGCGGCACUUGUGUUUCUGGAGAUGAGGGAGAUGAAGUGAAGAAGGCUGUUUGGAAUUGACAUUGUCUUUGGGGGUUUGGACAUUUUUAUGUAUUUGUGAUUGACCUCCAAUGUUCGUUGGACAAAGGAAUAUGAAGG
This 2570-nucleotide long non-coding RNA is filed under the name Nicotiana benthamiana. RNAcentral describes it as "long non-coding RNA (NBEN_LNC033455)". Lineage: Eukaryota; Viridiplantae; Streptophyta; Magnoliopsida; Solanales; Solanaceae. The record is from RNAcentral.